Molecule: ribosomal RNA, 492 nt
Filed under: uncultured bacterium
Lineage: Bacteria
Description: partial 16S ribosomal RNA
Rfam family: Bacterial small subunit ribosomal RNA
Source: RNAcentral
AGUGAACGCUGGCGGUAGGCCUAACACAUGCAAGUCGAACGGCAGCACAGUAAGAGCUUGCUCUUACGGGUGGCGAGUGGCGGACGGGUGAGGAAUACAUCGGAAUCUACUUUUUCGUGGGGGAUAACGUAGGGAAACUUACGCUAAUACCACAUACGACCUACGGGUGAAAGCAGGGGAUCUUCGGACCUUGCGCGAUUGAAUGAGCCGAUGUCGGAUUAGCUAGUUGGCGGGGUAAAGGCCCACCAAGGCGACGAUCCGUAGCUGGUCUGAGAGGAUGAUCAGCCACACUGGAACUGAGACACGGUCCAGACUCCUACGGGAGGCAGCAGUGGGGAAUAUUGGACAAUGGGCGCAAUCCUGAUCCAGCCAUACCGCGUGGGUGAAGAAGGCCUUCGGGUUGUAAAGCCCUUUUGUUGGGAAAGAAAAGCAGCAGGUUAAUACCCCGCUGUUCUGACGGUACCCAAAGAAUAAGCACCGGCUAACUUCGUG